Molecule: long non-coding RNA, 479 nt
Organism: Entelurus aequoreus (snake pipefish)
Lineage: Eukaryota; Metazoa; Chordata; Actinopteri; Syngnathiformes; Syngnathidae
Exons: 3
Source: RefSeq, a predicted model, not a curated record
CAGGAAGUGGCCAGCAGACAGACUGAUUGUAUGCUCGAGAGCAGACUACCAGCACCGGAGUUUUUUCUCAUUAAGCUGUGUGUGACUGUAGAAGAGUUGGCCAGGCUUCUUUUUUUUUGAUGGCGAGCUAAAGAAAGAAGAAUCUAGUCCAAGGACUGUUCUUGGAAGAUUCCAGCCAGGAAACCACCACCUGUUCUGUCUGGGCGGGUAGGAGGCUCUCGAGCCGUCCCUUUACAUUUUUUCCCCCCAUCUUUAACCUGCAGUACAUGGACUGUACUGCCAUCCUUUUUUUCCCAAGAACUCUACGUCUGAACUGAGAUUUAUUCAGAUCCAGAGACAUUAAUUACUGAAAUUUGAAUUGUGUAUAUAUGUAUAUAGUCACUGUUGUUUUCCAGAUUACUUUCCUGUUGAAUGGCCAUUCAACGUAUUGUGUGUAUAUAUCUGCUGUCCCUCACAAAUUGUUUAAUACACAGUGUUAA